RNAcentral lists this small nuclear RNA (331 nucleotides) under Chlorocebus sabaeus (green monkey). RNAcentral describes it as "7SK RNA". The stretch from base 1 to 161 matches the Rfam family "7SK RNA", at positions 12 to 171 of the family's 331-position model. Lineage: Eukaryota; Metazoa; Chordata; Mammalia; Primates; Cercopithecidae. The record is from Rfam by way of RNAcentral.
GGAUGUUGGAGUAAACAUCUGCCACCCUGUUGAUCACCAGAGUCGAUUUGGCUGGUCUGGCUGGCUACGAGGGUGUCCCCUUCCUCCCUCACCACUCAGUGUGCAUUCCCCCCAAAGCUGCCCGCUCAGUCAAAGAAGAUGACUUUUACUGAUAGUCGACUUGUAUGAGAGUGCACAGAAUGUUGUAAGGGUGGUGUCAAGUUUUAAUGUUUAACGUGUCAAGUUUAUUGUAUUUUUUCAUGAUAAAAAUAAUAAAUACUCAUUGAAGUAUAUGUGAAAAACAUAUAAAAGUUAAAGGAUAAAUAGCAGGUAUAUCUGAGAGGCACAAUUU